Molecule: ribosomal RNA, 253 nt
Filed under: uncultured bacterium
Lineage: Bacteria
Description: partial 16S ribosomal RNA
Rfam family: Bacterial small subunit ribosomal RNA
Source: RNAcentral
GACAGAGGGUGCAAACGUUGCUCGGAAUUACUGGGCGUAAAGCGCGCGUAGGCGGACCUGCAAGUCGGGGGUGAAAGCCCGAGGCUCAACCUCGGAACUGCCUUCGAUACUGCGGGUCUCGAGUCCGGGAGAGGUGAGUGGAAUUCCUAGUGUAGAGGUGAAAUUCGUAGAUAUUAGGAAGAACACCAGUGGCGAAGGCGGCUCACUGGCCCGGUACUGACGCUGAGGCGCGAAAGCGUGGGGAGCAAACAGG